Humulus lupulus (European hop) is the source of this 107-nucleotide small nucleolar RNA. The record is from RefSeq and is a predicted model, not a curated record. NCBI's taxonomy places the organism in Eukaryota, Viridiplantae, Streptophyta, Magnoliopsida, Rosales, Cannabaceae.
AUACCAUGAUGAGAGCACUUCCUUAACAUCUCUUUGAAUCUCUCCCAUGCAUCAUACAGUGAUUCCCCCUCCAUCUGACAGAAAUUAUUAAUUUCUCCCCUUAACUU